UCAAGUCACUAUUUACCCCACAUUCCAUGUUUCUCUCCUUAGACCAUGCUAAAAGAUUCCUGAAUCCAUAAACCAUACACAUAUCCAUGAUCUAGCAAGCCCUUAUUUUCUUACUCCCAAGAAUAUUAUUGAAAGAAUGAUUAAGAAAGGAAACAAGGUUGUACCUCACAUUUUGAUUCACUUGGAUAAGCUACUUUUUGACCAGCUAACUUUGGAGGAUCACCAUGCUCUGAAGUUAAGGUUUCCAGACUUCUUCCUUGAGGACAAGAAAGAUUUUUAAGGAAAUGUAGAGGAUGAUCUUUCAGCUGAGAGAGUAGUAGUACUUAGACGUUAAGAGAAUAUAAUUAAAAUAAAGUUUUCUAGUUGGCACAUUAGUCCCUUAGUUUUUAUAUUCAAUGUUUGCUUAUUUCUGAUUUAGCCCAAGAAACUAUCUAGUUGGGCAUAUUUCGUCCUCCGUCAAAUCAGUUAUUUACAGAGUACGCAUGUUCCUGCUGGAGAAGGCAUUUGUGCACUCCUAUAUAUGAUGUAGCUGCUCCAUUUCUGAUAUCAAUGAAAGUUCACAUAUCUUAGCUCUAGAAUUUAAUUUUAAUUUUUGUUCCUAUCUUCUCUCUCCCAAG
This 617-nucleotide long non-coding RNA is filed under the name Capsicum annuum. Its description in RNAcentral is "long non-coding RNA (CANN_LNC016945)". The record is from RNAcentral. Lineage: Eukaryota; Viridiplantae; Streptophyta; Magnoliopsida; Solanales; Solanaceae.